AGGGAGGGAGCUGGGAAGAAAUAGCGCGACUUCUCUCCCCCGUGACCUCCUCACUCCCGCCCAUGCUCCCCAUUAACCGUCCUCAAACAGAAGUCAGCUGACACGGAGGCCUGGGUAGUAGUCGGUAGGCUCCGCCUCACGGUGCACGGAGCAGGGCACAGACGCCGGAGAACGCCCAGAGGAAAACCACUGCAGAAGGUCACAGAGGAAAUCUUUGCUUUGGGGAAAGUAUGUCCAGAUGAAGGAACAAAGCUGGGCAAAACCAAACAACCUGCAUUGAGACACCCAGCAGGGAAGUACUGGAAUUCCAUCCCCAGUUACUGGUUGCCAGUAUCCCUCUAGGGGAAUCCCCUCCACCCCAGUGUUAGGUCUGGGAGGUACAGGAAAGACAGAGAGGGCAGCCGCCCACCAGCCUCUGAGGAGAAGAAAAGGCCUCCAACCCCCCAAUGAGGGAUUACAUUUUCCUUAUUGUCAUGAAAAGAAUUCCCCUUUUCUGGCAAAUAAAGCCCAUUUCUAAGUGAAGCUCAAACAGCCCUGCAGGGAGGUUUCGAAUGAGGAGAGCAGAGUUAAGUCUCUGCCAAGGGAUUAAAACUAUCCUCCUUGGUUCUCCUGGGGGCCCAGGAGCCAACCCUCUAUGAGUGUUAUACAAAGGGGCCGGGAAGGGGGCGACAAUGCUAAAAGACAGAACAUUGAAUAUUCACUCAUCUGAAAAUCCCCAAGGACAUUCUUUCCUGAGAAGAUGGUCAGACUAAUCCAAGACUGGCCGACUGACUGAAUGGCCAAGCAGACAGAUUUUUUUUUCCCCAAGAGAUUUACAGCUUCAACUAAAAACAGUUGUUUGGACAAAUUGUCAAACUCCCACAGGGCCCACUUGAUAUCUAGUCUUGUCAGGUCAGAGAGGAGAAUGGCUACUGCUUUGAAAGACUGAGGGUUUGUUGUUUCCUGCUGCUUCCUGGAGACCAACAUGGUAAGUGGAGCCCCAGAGGUCACCGUUAAGGAGAAGACGAUAGGAGGUCUCAGGGGAGUUGUGUUUCGGUGCUGGUCGAGGAGCACAAAGGCAUUUGCUGUUCCACUCCCACCUUCUCCACCUUUGCCGAACUCACGACCUCACGCUUGAAUAUCUGCUGGUUUUUCUGGGGCUCUGCCACGAUCCAGUCCCAGGUUCCUGACCUCCCCAGUCCACCCAGCAUCUCAGAGCCAGAAUAAUCCUCCUCAGCCUGCUUUCAUUGGGGCCCUCCUGAUGAAUGCAAGCAACAGCAUUCUGAGAAGGUGGGAGUGUGAGCCCAGCCCUGGAGAGCCUUGCAAAAGCUGGAGUGAAGCUUCACAACCAGGCAAGAGAUAGGCUGCCCCGAGGCAGGAGGGGAAAGUGAGGCCAGCCACGGUGAGCCACGGGUCACCAGGAAACCUGGAGGUCACUGGAAGGCAGUCAGGAAGACAGGAAUGUGCAGAACUGGCAGCAAGGAUGGUGAGAAAGAACACAGGUGUGGAGCAUAGAUCUGGGUUCAAAUCCCAGCCCUGUCCCUUUGAACCUUGCUUUUCUUAUCUGUAAAAUGAAAUAAUAGUGCCUGCUGUGGUGGACCCUGAGAUGUGCCUUCCUUGUCUCUGUUCAGAAGUGAAGGACUUUCUCCAUCCAUCAGGAGUACCGUCAGUCCCUUGUCAUCUCAGUCAUCUCUGAGGAUUAGCUGAUGACAACUGCCUCACAUCUCCUUCCUGGAGAAGCCCACAUCCAGUGACUGAUCCAUGGGUGGGACAGAGGCCCAGCCCCCACCCAAGUUGGGACAAGUUGGGACCAGUUGGAAGGAAUAACCAACUCCAGAGGCUUCCUAGAAUACUGAAUCCAUGAGCACUACUUAAUCUCUAUCUCGGACUCUGCUUUCUGGGAAGCCCAGUCUGGGACAUCUACCUCAUCUACUCAGGAGUUUCCAGAAGUUCUAGAAGCUAGAAGUCCAAGAUCAAGGUGUCCAGGUUCUUCUGAGGCCUCAUACUGAUCAUCUAUACAAACUCAAUUUACUUUAAUUACCUCUUCAAUUCAAUCCGUAUCAAAAUCCCAGCAGCCGUUUUGUAAAA
Long non-coding RNA from Hyaena hyaena (striped hyena), 2067 nucleotides. RefSeq lists it as uncharacterized. Lineage: Eukaryota; Metazoa; Chordata; Mammalia; Carnivora; Hyaenidae. The transcript is spliced from 4 exons. The record is from RefSeq and is a predicted model, not a curated record.